This 248-nucleotide ribosomal RNA is filed under the name uncultured bacterium. Its description in RNAcentral is "partial 16S ribosomal RNA". It matches the Rfam family "Bacterial small subunit ribosomal RNA", at positions 524 to 769 of the family's 1533-position model. The record is from RNAcentral.
UACGGGGGGAGCAAGCGUUGUUCGGAUUUACUGGGCGUAAAGGGCGCGUAGGCGGUCGUGACAAGUCACUUGUGAAAUCUCCGGGCUUAACUCGGAACGGUCAAGUGAUACUGUCGGACUAGAGUACAGAAGGGGCAACUGGAAUUCUCGGUGUAGCGGUGAAAUGCGUAGAUAUCGAGAGGAACACCUGCGGCGAAGGCGGGUUGCUGGGCUGAUACUGACGCUGAGGCGCGAAAGCCCAGGGGAGC